CACAUGGGUUGUCCAAAACGGUGCCGUUUUGGCACCUGGACUUCCCCCAAAAACGGUGUCAUUUUAUUAACAUAUAAAAGUCCCAUUUUUUCAAAAAAAGAAGAAUCUUAUUUUCUUUCUUUUCCAGAAAACCAAUAGCAGCCCUUUCUCCCACCAUUUUCUUCAUUUUCAUCUAUGCUAGGGUUUCAAAGAAACCCAUUUCGCUGCCGCCAUGAAGCCACCGUAGGUGGUGGUCGGGGCUACGCGAAAGGGGUCUUUUGACCCUGAUUUUGGAGCACCCGAAGGCGAUAUUCUCCUUAGCCCAAGAAGACCAAAAGAAGAAGGUCCCCUCCUUCUCCCUUUCGAGUCCAUUUCCGACGACGGAGAUGAACUCCAACGACGCGACCCUCGGGAUCCUGGUGAUGGGAUGAUGGGACGGAGGCAGUGCAAGUGGAGGCAAGUGGCCCUAGGGUUUGCUGCUUCUGUUUUUUUUUUCUGCUGGUGGUUUGGGCUUGUUUGUAAUCGGGUCUGGGUCUUUGGGGUUAGUUUUGGGCUUGGGUAUAUUGGGCUGAUUUAGGCCUGGUCAAAUUUGGACCGGUACAACCACUUUUCAGUUUUUUAUAAUAAUUCCUAGGUUCUAAACUGAAUUUAUUUCAGUAAA
Gossypium arboreum is the source of this 640-nucleotide long non-coding RNA. RefSeq lists it as uncharacterized. NCBI's taxonomy places the organism in Eukaryota, Viridiplantae, Streptophyta, Magnoliopsida, Malvales, Malvaceae. The record is from RefSeq and is a predicted model, not a curated record. The transcript is spliced from 2 exons.